Long non-coding RNA from Ochotona princeps (American pika), 429 nucleotides. RefSeq lists it as uncharacterized. The record is from RefSeq and is a predicted model, not a curated record. The transcript is spliced from 3 exons. Lineage: Eukaryota; Metazoa; Chordata; Mammalia; Lagomorpha; Ochotonidae.
GCGUCUGCGCGCGCGCGCGCGCUCCACCGGCGGUGACCGGCGCGUGGGAGCCACUCUUACAGUGACCACCGGCAAGGACAGCGCAGGUGAUGCACCUGUGGCUGCCCGGGCAUGCGCACUGAAUGCCUCACCUUUCCCAUCGCGGGUCUGGAAAGAUCAGAAGGGCCAGCUAUUGUCUGAGGAUGUCUUUCCUUAUAUCUUUGCUACUGCUUUUUCCAUGCUCAAAUGUUUGUGGAUUACCAAACUGACCCAGUGCAAGACAGUGUAGAAGAAAAGUUAUAAAAUAUGGGCACCUGCCCUCCGGAGGCUUGGCAGCCUGGCCUCCCUUCACAUUUCCUUUGGCAUUACCUCCUUCCAGAACACAGGAAACAGCCCUUCCCUGAGUGGAGAGAGGAGCCGCCGCUGAGGCACGGUACAAGGGGAGGGUCC